AUUGAACGCUGGCGGCAGGCCUAACACAUGCAAGUCGAGCGGAUGAAGGGAGCUUGCUCCUGGAUUCAGCGGCGGACGGGUGAGUAAUGCCUAUGAAUCUGCCUGGUAGUAGUGGAUAACGUCCGGAAACGGGCGCUAAUACCGCAUACGUCCUGAGGGAGAAAGUGGGGGAUCUUCGGACCUCACGCUAUCAGAUGAUCCUAGGUCGGAUUAGCUAGUUGGUGGGGUAAAGGCCUACCAAGGCGACGAUCCGUAACUGGUCUGAGAGGAUGAUCAGUCACACUGGAAAUGAGACACGGUCCAGACUCCUACGGAAGGCAGCAGUGGGGAAUAUAGGAAAAUGGGCGAAAGCCUGAUCCAGCCAUGCCGCGUGUGUGAAGAAGGUCUUCGGAUUGUAAAGCACUUUACGUUGGGAGGAAGGGCAGUAAGUUAAUACCUUGCUGUUUUGACGUUACCAACAGAAUAAGCACCGGCUAACUUCGUG
This 484-nucleotide ribosomal RNA is filed under the name uncultured bacterium. RNAcentral's name for it is "partial 16S ribosomal RNA". It matches the Rfam family "Bacterial small subunit ribosomal RNA", at positions 30 to 507 of the family's 1533-position model. The record is from RNAcentral.